Molecule: ribosomal RNA, 497 nt
Filed under: uncultured bacterium
Lineage: Bacteria
Description: partial 16S ribosomal RNA
Rfam family: Bacterial small subunit ribosomal RNA
Source: RNAcentral
GAUGAACGCUGGCGGCGUGCCUAAUACAUGCAAGUCGAGCGAACAGACGAGGAGCUUGCUCCUCUGACGUUAGCGGCGGACGGGUGAGUAACACGUGGAUAACCUACCUAUAAGACUGGGAUAACUUCGGGAAACCGGAGCUAAUACCGGAUAAUAUAUUGAACCGCAUGGUUCAAUAGUGAAAGACGGUUUUGCUGUCACUUAUAGAUGGAUCCGCGCCGCAUUAGCUAGUUGGUAAGGUAACGGCUUACCAAGGCAACGAUGCGUAGCCGACCUGAGAGGUUGAUCGGCCACACUGGAACUGAGACACGGUCCAGACUCCUACGGGAGGCAGCAGUAGGGAAUCUUCCGCAAAGGGCGAAAGCCUGACGGAGCAACGCCGCGUGAGUGAUGAAGGUCUUCGGAUCGUAAAACUCUGUUAUUAGGGAAGAACAAAUGUGUAAGUAACUAUGCACGUCUUGACGGUACCUAAUCAGAAGGCCACGGCUAACUACGUG